Molecule: long non-coding RNA, 386 nt
Organism: Tyto alba (common barn owl)
Lineage: Eukaryota; Metazoa; Chordata; Aves; Strigiformes; Tytonidae
Exons: 2
Source: RefSeq, a predicted model, not a curated record
CCGGGAGCUCCGAGCACCGGGUGUCACUUCCGCUGAAGCGGAGGGCGGGGGGAAGAGGAGCCGCCAUGGCGCCGGCGGAGCGGAGGGACCCGCGCCCGCUCUGCCGCCUGGUGCUGGCUGCCGUGGUACUGCUUACCUGGGGCUUCGUCCUCUACGGGGAGCGGGUGGUCGCCCGGCGGCAACUGGAGAGCGGGCUGCUGGCCCACGGCCGGCCCUAGGCUAUGGUGGAGCCCCGGGGACACGAGCGGGAGCGUGGCGGUGCCUCCCAGGGCACGGAGGGACCCACUGGAAGGCUGAAGGAGCUCCGUGGUCAGCUGGGCAAAUGAAGCGCAAAUAGCGCUGAGGAAAGAGAAGGCAAAUAAAGCGCGAGCAGUUAGGAAAGAGAA